GAUGAACGCUGGCGGCGUGCCUAAUACAUGCAAGUCGAGCGAACAGACGAGGAGCUUGCUCCUCUGAUGUUAGCGGCGGACGGGUGAGUAACACGUGGAUAACCUACCUAUAAGACUGGGAUCACUUCGGGAAACCGGAGCUAAUACCGGAUAACAUGUUGAACCGCAUGGUUCAACAGUGAAAGACGGUCUUGCUGUCACUUCUAGAUGGAUCCGCGCCGCAUUAGCUAGUUGGUAAGGUAACGGCUUACCAAGGCAACGAUGCGUAGCCGACCUGAGAGGGUGAUCGGCCACACUGGAACUGAGACACGCUCCAGACUCCUACGGGAGGCAGCAGUAGGGAAUCUUCCGCAAUGGGCGAAAGCCUGACGGAGCAACGCCGCGUGAGUGAAGAAGGUCUUCGGAUCGUAAAACUCUGUUAUGAGGGAAGAACAAAUGUGUAAGUAACUAUGCACGUCUUGACGGUACCUAAUCAGAAAGCCACGGCUAACUACGUG
This 497-nucleotide ribosomal RNA is filed under the name uncultured bacterium. Its description in RNAcentral is "partial 16S ribosomal RNA". It matches the Rfam family "Bacterial small subunit ribosomal RNA", at positions 28 to 507 of the family's 1533-position model. The record is from RNAcentral.